UUUUUUUUUGUAUCAAGAUUAGCUUUCAAACCCCAGACAAGUGAAAAUAAAUUUUGAUGUCCUGUUCUCCCAUCACAUGGAAUCCAGAAACAUUUGGCAAUAGCACAGUCAGCUUUUGUUGAAGCAGUACCCCCAAGGAGGCUCUGAGUUUGGUAGCUGUGCACCACUACUAUGCUAGUAUUUUGUGGGAAGGCUGCACAGGCUCAGCUUCCAUGACAUUUAAGAGAAAGGGCAGUUUAGCUCUCACUUGAUGCAAUCUAGGCUUACCAAUUUGAACAGGAUAGGGAAAUUGUUUAGAAAAAGCAACAAGCCAAGCUGCAACUAAAGAAUUAAGCUCCUGCCUAGGUUCUAAGAAACUGUACAACUGGGGAGUUUUUAAAACAUCUAUUAACAUAAAGUAUAUUGUUAAUCAUCAGUGUCUGAAAAAUACUGGUUUAUUUAUUAAUUUCACUUUUGUCCUUUGUUGUCUUCCAAUCUACAUCUGUACCAUAUCCUGGCAGUAGGGCAUUUAGCUGACAACAUUUAUCAAAUAAGAUUACUGAGGUGUCUUAAGUUACUUUAAAUGUCAGUCUUCCCUUGUCUUCUUUCACAUCCAUUAAUCUGUAUGUUAGGUAUUUUCUGAGUCCAUAUCUAGUCUUCAGUGAACCCCAAAAGGAAUUUUCUUGAGGAAAGCAUGCAAGCUUGCAGACACUUUAAAAAAAUGUGAACAUCAUCUGUGGGAAUGUGAACCAUUUCCUAAUGGCUCAGUAAGAAGUCCUGCAGAUGUUUCCUCACUCUCUGCUGCAUGAAGUUUUGUGCAGCCUUUUUCAUACUGCUAUAACUGAUGGGAGCCUUUUCUAAAAACAGUUUUUCACUUUUAGAUUCUGCAACUGCAAGAAGCUGUAACAAUUAAGAGAAAUAAGAAACAACCUAGCAAUAUGUUUCACUUCACAAUACGUUGUUAAACCAAUCUAGGCUAGUUGGAUUUUCCUACUUCUGGAUUACUUCACCGUACGUAGUGAAUACAUUUAAAUGCAACUGCCUGCUCUUGCAAAAUCCAUACUUUGAAUUGGUUUAGGUUUCCAGCUAUUUUUGGAGGCAAGUAUAUCCUAGAUGACAGUUGUUUGUUACCAGUCAAAGGACUUGGGAAUUCUGUAAUAACAGUUUUUGUCAUUAUGUACCAUGUUUAUAUUUGAAUAAAAUCCAUUCAUUCUU
Molecule: long non-coding RNA, 1194 nt
Filed under: Strigops habroptila (Kakapo)
Lineage: Eukaryota; Metazoa; Chordata; Aves; Psittaciformes; Psittacidae
Description: lncRNA (ENSSHBG00005010215.1)
Source: RNAcentral